AUACGUCAGCAUAAGCAUAAAACAACAGAUAGGACAGGUGGAAUAAUGAUGACAAAGAUCACGAAUACGGAUGUUUCACGAAGUUCUGUGUCACAAAACUUCUGCGCAUCUUGACCUUCACAAAACUAUGUUGCGGAUUUCAUCGAAUGGAAGCCCUCAGAAAAAGUCAGAGAGCAUAACCGGUAAAUGCAUUGAGGAUAUUGUGUGAAAAUGCUUUACCUGACAUUCUUGCCAAUUAACAGCAACAGCAAAUGAACGUUGAAAUUAAGGUGCAAAGUCGCCAGCCAAGAUUGCAGUUUCAUAACAUCGUUAUUAACUCUACGCCACCUCCAGCUCGUGGACACCUCCUUCCUACCUCGCAGGCAACCAUCACUCACCUGGCCGUGCUCACUGUGCUCCCGCUGCUAAUACUGGCCGGAUUCGAGGCGACAACCAUCUUUGCAAGCUUGUCCGGCAUUCUAGCAACAUGUAUCACCCAAUGUAUCCUCGUAGCGUUUGUCAUUUUUGCAGGCUGGGUUCACCGUAGCGUAUAGGCGAGCUCGUAAUUUAUGUUUCGAUGUCACAGUAAAAUGUAUCAACAUAUUUGUUUUACACUUAUAACUUGAUUGUAGAAUUAUAGCCUCCUUAAGCUUGCCAAAUAUUUUUAUAUAAAAUGUUUGUAAUAUAGAAAAACUACAAUCCAAUGAACAGUAGAUUUCUCAAUAAAAGUAAAAGAAACGAAAACAAAAGGAAACAAAAGAUUACUAUAUAAAUCAAGAUG
This is a long non-coding RNA of Aedes aegypti (yellow fever mosquito), 760 nucleotides long. RefSeq lists it as uncharacterized. NCBI's taxonomy places the organism in Eukaryota, Metazoa, Arthropoda, Insecta, Diptera, Culicidae. The transcript is spliced from 2 exons. The record is from RefSeq and is a predicted model, not a curated record.